This 460-nucleotide ribosomal RNA is filed under the name uncultured bacterium. Its description in RNAcentral is "partial 16S ribosomal RNA". It matches the Rfam family "Bacterial small subunit ribosomal RNA", at positions 338 to 795 of the family's 1533-position model. The record is from RNAcentral.
CCUACGGGUGGCAGCAGUGAGGAAUAUUGGUCAAUGGACGGAAGGCUGAACCAGCCAAGUAGCGUGCGGGAAGACUGCUCUAUGGGUUGUAAACUGCUUUUAUGCGGGGGUAAAGGUGUCUACGUGUGUUUGUUUGCAGGUACCGCACGAAUAAGGACAGGCUAAUUCCGUGCCAGCAGCCGCGGUAAUACGGAAGGUCCGUGCGUUAUCCGGAUUUAUUGGGUUUAAAGGGUGCGUAGUCGGGUCGUUAAGUGCGCCGUGAAAUUUUGUGGCUUAACCCUGGAACUGCCGCGAAAACUGGAGACCUUGAGUGCGGGAGAGGCAGGCGGAAUUGUUGGUGGAGCGGUGAAAUGCUUAGAUAUAACGAAGAACCCCGAUUGCGAAGGCAGCAUACCGGUGCACAACUGACGGUGAGGCACGAAAGCGUGGGUAGCAAACAGGAUUAGAUACCCUGGUAGUC